Long non-coding RNA from Syngnathoides biaculeatus (alligator pipefish), 1152 nucleotides. RefSeq lists it as uncharacterized. Lineage: Eukaryota; Metazoa; Chordata; Actinopteri; Syngnathiformes; Syngnathidae. The transcript is spliced from 3 exons. The record is from RefSeq and is a predicted model, not a curated record.
GUUGGGCACGAGAGUGCGGCGACUCUUUGGUGACAGUGGGGACGCACGCGCAUCGCGCGUGCUCUCGACCAAUGCGGGAGCGCGCCUCAGGCUCUUUGAUAUCAGGGGUAGCGGACCUGCAGCUCUCCAACCGCAUGCGGCUCUUUGCCCAUUUCCAUGCGGCUCUUCUAAAGCGCACAUGCUUUGCUUGAGGCUAAGUAUAGGACCCUGAGGACCUUCGCCAGAUCGUUGCCUCUCAUGGUUCGUUCCCGCACUUCCGAACUCCUGACUCCGAUCUCCCCUGUACCGACCCCUCUCUGCCCCCGGACCUGCUCUCUACGCCCGACGUCCUGACUACCGCUGCUCCACUUGACUGUCUGCCUGAUCCUCGACUUUAGACCGAAUAAACACUUUUCCCAAACUGCCUCUGCGUCUCCGGAGUCCUGCAUUUGGGUCCUGCUCCGCACCGAUGGGUCGUGACAUUGUGCCCUGAAAGCAAAUAUCUUAACCAAAUGGUAUCAGAUCUUCAACUGUCUCACCCAAUGACUUAGAAUAAAAACUGGACUCUGCACUCUGCAUCCAUCAUUGGCUCCACCAUGGUCAGCAGGCUCUGACUUCUUGUCAGGGCAAAAAGUAUGGUAAACGUACACACAUUGUUAUGGAAAAUGAUGCAAUAAAUAUAAUAAUUCAUUAUGAAGGUUACGCUGAAACACACUUACCGGUGAAAAGUUACUUCUUUGCGACCGCCUGCACGGUUCUCACAGCCAACAGCGCAACAAAAAAGCUAAACCUAAUGUAUCCCAAUGAAAUGUGAUGUUAGUAUGUUACACAAUGGACAAUUGUAAGGAUGGCAAAGGAUGGCAACUUUCACGUGAAAUAGUACCCAAAGCAAUGUUUUCUGUUCGGAUGUUGACCAUGUGAAAGGGGCCUGUGUGGGGUCCAGUUUUUAUUCUGUCAUUGGUCUCGCCAUACAGAUGGCGAAAGUUGCACUCAGACCUGCCAUGAUGUGACUAUGUUAGUGUCGCAUUAGAUGACAGUUGUGACAUCCAAGACAUGAAUUGGUAGUUUGUCUGUAUGAGAGAGAGCAAACAUUUUUUUUUUUUUUAUGACUGGCUUGUGGUCUUGGUACUCUGGAGGUGUCAAUUUUUCCCGCUAUCAUGUUGGUGUGUGACA